GACGAACGCUGGCGGCGUGCCUAAUACAUGCAAGUAGAACGCUGAAGCGAGGAGCUUGCUCUUCUUGGCUGAGUUGCGAACGGGUGAGUAACGCGUAGGUAACCUGCCUUGUAGCGGGGGAUAACUAUUGGAAACGAUAGCUAAUACCGCAUAACAAUGGAUGACACAUGUCAUUUAUUUGAAAGGGGCAAUUGCUCCACUACAAGAUGGACCUGCGUUGUAUUAGCUAGUAGGUGAGGUAAUGGCUCACCUAGGCGACGAUACAUAGCCGACCUGAGAGGGUGAUCGGCCACCCCGGGACUGAGACACGGCCCAGACUCCUACGGGAGGCAGCAGUAGGGAAUCUUCGGCAAUGGGGGCAACCCUGACCGAGCAACGCCGCGUGAGUGAAGAAGGGUGUCGGGUCGUAAAGCUCUGUUGUAAGUCAAGAACGGGUGUGAGAGUGGAAAGUUCACACUGUGACGGUAGCUGACCAGAAAGGGACGGCUAACUACGUG
Molecule: ribosomal RNA, 497 nt
Filed under: uncultured bacterium
Lineage: Bacteria
Description: partial 16S ribosomal RNA
Rfam family: Bacterial small subunit ribosomal RNA
Source: RNAcentral